GAUGAACGCUGGCGGCGUGCCUAAUACAUGCAAGUCGAGCGAACAGACGAGGAGCUUGCUCCUCUGACGUUAGCGGCGGACGGGUGAGUAACACGUGGAUAACCUACCUAUAAGACUGGGAUAACUUCGGGAAACCGGAGCUAAUACCGGAUAACAUGUUGAACCGCAUGGUUCAACAGUGAAAGACGGUCUUGCUGUCACUUAUAGAUGGAUCCGCGCCGCAUUAGCUAGUUGGUAAGGUAACGGCUUACCAAGGCAACGAUGCGUAGCCGACCUGAGAGGGUGAUCGGACACACUGGAACUGAGACACGGUCCAGACUCCGACGGGAGGCAGCAGUAGGGAAUAUUCCGCAAUGGGCGAAAGCCUGACGGAGCAACGCCGCGUGAGUGAUGAAGGUCUUCGGAUCGUAAAACUCUGUUAUUAGGGAAGAACAAAUGUGUAAGUAACUAUGCACGUCUUGACGGUACCUAAUCAGAAAGCCACGGCUAACUACGUG
This 497-nucleotide ribosomal RNA is filed under the name uncultured bacterium. RNAcentral describes it as "partial 16S ribosomal RNA". It matches the Rfam family "Bacterial small subunit ribosomal RNA", at positions 28 to 507 of the family's 1533-position model. The record is from RNAcentral.